AGAUUGUCAUUGAGGUAGAAGUUCUCCAGUCGCACAAGGUCCUGAAAGGCCUGGUCAUGGAUCACAUUGAUGCGGUUCUCUUGGAGGUUCAGGCUGCGGGAAAACACAAGACCAAGUGCUGAGAAGAAGAUGUGAACAACAUCCUACGAGGCUGGUAUCUUAAAAGGUAGAUGUGAGUCAGAUUCUCCAUGCCUCUGAUGGCUCCAGGGAUCCUGCGGAAGUUGUUUUGGAAGCAGAGUAACUCUUUCAGCAC
Molecule: long non-coding RNA, 253 nt
Organism: Thunnus maccoyii (southern bluefin tuna)
Lineage: Eukaryota; Metazoa; Chordata; Actinopteri; Scombriformes; Scombridae
Exons: 3
Source: RefSeq, a predicted model, not a curated record